CGGAGCUGCGGCCGUGAGGAGGAGCGGAGGGGACAGCGCGCGGGCGGCCGAGCAUGCUGCGGGGCGGCCGCGCCGGCGCCACUCGCUCGUGACCGCAGCGCCGCUCCUGAGGCGGCCGAGGCUGCGGGCCCGGCGCGCAGUCGCUGCUCCGCGCACGCGCACGGCGGCGCUCUCGGUGCUGACAGCGCGAGACAGCGCGGCCCGGCAGGAGCAGGACGAAUGUAUGACAACAUGUCCACAAUGGUGUAUAUAAAGGAAGACAAGUUGGAGAAGCUUACACAGGAUGAAAUUAUUUCCAAGACAAAGCAAGUAAUUCAGGGCCUGGAAGCUCUGAAGAAUGAACACAAUUCCAUUUUACAGAGUUUACUGGAGACACUGAAGUGUUUGAAGAAAGAUGAUGAAAGUAACCUGGUGGAGGAGAAAUCAAACAUGAUCCGGAAGUCCCUGGAGAUGUUGGAGCUUGGCCUGAGUGAGGCACAGGUUAUGAUGGCUUUGUCAAACCACCUGAAUGCCGUGGAGUCAGAGAAGCAGAAGUUGCGAGCGCAGGUGCGUCGCCUGUGCCAGGAGAAUCAGUGGCUGCGGGAUGAACUGGCCAACACACAGCAGAAAUUGCAGAAGAGUGAGCAGUCUGUGGCUCAGCUGGAGGAAGAAAAGAAGCAUCUGGAAUUUAUGAAUCAGCUCAAAAAAUAUGAUGACGACAUUUCCCCAUCUGAGGACAAGGACACGGAUUCUACCAAAGAGCCUCUGGACGACCUUUUCCCCAAUGAUGAAGAUGACCCAGGACAAGGCAUCCAGCAGCAGCACAGCAGUGCGGCCGCCGCAGCGCAGCAAGGCGGCUACGAGAUCCCCGCGCGGCUGCGCACGCUCCACAACCUGGUGAUCCAGUACGCCUCCCAGGGGCGCUACGAGGUGGCCGUGCCCCUCUGCAAGCAGGCGCUGGAGGAUCUGGAGAAGACGUCGGGACACGACCACCCCGAUGUGGCCACCAUGCUCAACAUCCUGGCCCUGGUGUACAGGGAUCAAAACAAGUACAAGGACGCAGCCAACCUACUGAAUGACGCCUUGGCCAUCCGUGAAAAGACACUGGGCAAAGAUCAUCCUGCGGUGGCGGCCACUUUGAAUAACCUCGCAGUCCUCUAUGGGAAGCGAGGGAAGUACAAGGAAGCCGAGCCCUUGUGCAAACGAGCCCUGGAGAUCAGAGAAAAGGUACUGGGAAAGGAUCACCCUGAUGUCGCUAAGCAGUUAAAUAACUUGGCCUUGCUGUGCCAGAACCAGGGCAAGUAUGAGGAGGUGGAGUACUAUUAUCAAAGAGCCCUCGACAUCUACCAGACGAAACUGGGGCCCGAUGACCCCAACGUGGCCAAGACCAAAAAUAACCUGGCAUCCUGCUAUCUGAAACAAGGAAAGUUCAAGCAAGCAGAGACACUGUACAAAGAAAUUCUCACCCGUGCCCAUGAAAGGGAGUUCGGUUCUGUAGAUGAUGAAAAUAAACCCAUUUGGAUGCAUGCUGAAGAAAGAGAAGAAUGCAAAGGAAAGCAGAAGGACGGGACAUCUUUUGGCGAGUACGGCGGCUGGUACAAAGCCUGCAAGGUCGACAGUCCCACUGUCACGACGACUCUAAAGAACCUGGGGGCACUCUAUCGACGGCAGGGCAAAUUCGAAGCUGCAGAGACGUUGGAAGAAGCUGCCAUGAGGUCGCGCAAACAGGGUCUUGACAAUGUUCACAAACAGAGAGUGGCCGAAGUGCUGAAUGACCCUGAGAACAUGGAGAAGCGGAGGAGCCGGGAGAGCCUCAACGUGGACGUGGUCAAGUACGAGAGCGGCCCUGACGGAGGGGAGGAAGUGAGUAUGAGCGUAGAGUGGAACGGGGAUGGCACUGGAUCUUUAAAACGCAGUGGUUCCUUUAGCAAACUCCGGGCUUCCAUUAGACGCAGCAGUGAGAAGCUGGUUAGGAAGCUGAAGGGAGGAAGUUCACGGGAGAGUGAGCCGAGGAACCCUGGCAUGAAGCGCGCCAGCUCUCUGAAUGUUCUUAACGUGGGUGGCAAGGCCGCUGAGGACCGCUUCCAAGUAAGGAGCCCACCCCGCCCGGUUCACACCCUGGGCUGCUGGACUGCGGUGCAGGUCUGCCGCAGACCCGCCUGGGCCGCCACCGCUGCUCCAGCAGAGCACUGCGGGCGUUCCCCGUGCCUGUACCUAGACAGAUAGUGUGACGGUAUCUUUGUAUUCUGCAUAACUCGGUUAUGUGAAUUGUGGGAGUGGUCACGCUGAGCAUUCUCAGUAUAUUAUUAUAGUUAAUGAUCUUUAAAAAUAGUUUGACCUAAUUAAUUUAUUGUUAAAGUAAUACCAAAGCUUGACCAGUUAAUAAUUUAUAUAAUUUUAGCCUCUAAUAAGUUUAUAACUAAUUCAUUGUUUGGUUAUUGUUCAGUGCUUCAAAACUAUUCAAAACUUUACUAACACAGUGACUGAACAUAUUGUCACUUUGACACUAAACUCUUCAGCACUUGGUCAGGUUGUCCAAGUCUUACACAAACUCAUGUUUUGUCUGCUUCCCCUUCGCGUGCGGGAGUUUGGCAUCCCUUCUCCAGCACAGAGCUUCAGUGUUCCUUUCUUCCAGCACCUGGGUGGCUGCCAGGGCGUGGCCAGCCCUGCCCUGUUUCUCGGUGCUCUGAGCAGACUCGAGCUGCUGGGACUUGGCAGUCACGGCCCCUGUGCUGGUGCUUAGAGUGUGUGACAGUGGCCAGGCUUCCCGUCUCCUGCCAGUCACCCAGAUCCAGUUACUAAAAUGUGGGCUGGUUGUCGACAGUAUUGGGGCUCCCAGACAGGCUGCCCCUGCCCCCACUGUCUCCCCAGCACCCUUGGGAGGCUGUUCACCAGGCCUCUGGGUGGCAGCUAAAGAGCUUGUAGGAUGCUGGCAGUUUGCUUGAGGCACCCCCAGUAAUGACAGGAAAAGGUCUGUUUGUUUUACGAAGGCCUGUAGCUGACCGAGUCUUCCAUCCGACAUCCUGGUGUUUCCACGUGCACGUCUGACCACUGGGACCCCGUUGUGCUGAGUUACGCAGCUAGGGUUGCUAGGCUAAGAUCACUGGAAUCUGGCAUCGUUUGAAGUACUGGGCGUCCCCAGCAGAGCCUCUCUUUGUGGAGAACGACAGCGGCAGCAGCAGCCUGGAAGACGCUUCCACUAAC
Molecule: RNA transcript, 3183 nt
Organism: Lemur catta (Ring-tailed lemur)
Lineage: Eukaryota; Metazoa; Chordata; Mammalia; Primates; Lemuridae
Gene: KLC1
Gene name: kinesin light chain 1
Exons: 16
Source: RefSeq, a predicted model, not a curated record